Long non-coding RNA from Melozone crissalis (California towhee), 499 nucleotides. RefSeq lists it as uncharacterized. Lineage: Eukaryota; Metazoa; Chordata; Aves; Passeriformes; Passerellidae. The transcript is spliced from 3 exons. The record is from RefSeq and is a predicted model, not a curated record.
GGGGAAAGAAACAGGGAAGGAGAAGGGCUCUGGUGAAGAUCACACUGCCCUCCUGAGGCUCCUGGGGGAGAAGGCAAAGUUGCACCAAGACCCCAUGCUGUUCUCUGAUGACAUUUUUUUCAUUGAGCCAAUGGAGGGAGAAAUUGGGCCGAAUUGUUUGGCCAAAAUCAAGGUGACCUUCAAACCCCUGGAAGCACUGGAGUAUGGAAGUGUGGCUUACUGCAGCAUCUCAGGUGGAACUGAUAAACCUAGGAGCUAUUGAUGCUCCCUUCACCUAUAGCCCUUCAACUGCAAACGUGGGCUUCUGCUUCAAGUUUGCGCCUGAGGAGGGCAUCAUUGCACCAGGCGGGACCCAGACUGCUCAGAUCUCCUUCAGUGCCACCAUAGUGUGGAGGUUUGAGGAAGAAUUCCAGUUCAGUGUGGCUGGAUCUCCUAUGUCUGCACUCCUGACUAUCAAGUACGGACGGUCAAAGCCAGGCACGCGCCCGCACGUCCUCAG